This is a long non-coding RNA of Oncorhynchus keta (chum salmon), 969 nucleotides long. RefSeq lists it as uncharacterized. Lineage: Eukaryota; Metazoa; Chordata; Actinopteri; Salmoniformes; Salmonidae. The transcript is spliced from 3 exons. The record is from RefSeq and is a predicted model, not a curated record.
AGGGACUGACUACAAUGUCAGCAAAUACACUUCACUGACUGGCUGUGUGACUGUUUUUUAUGAGGUCAUUCCAACCACUGACUGGCUGUGUGACUGUUUUUUAUGAGGUCAUUCCAACCACUGACUGCUGUGUGACUGUUUUUUAUGAGGUCAUUCCAACCACUGACUGCUGUGUGACUGUUUUUUAUGAGGUCAUUCCAACCACUAAUUGGCUGUGUGACUGUUUUUUAUGAGGUCAUUCCAACCACUGACUGCUGUGUGACUGUUUUUUAUGAGGUCAUUCCAACCACUGACUGGCUGUGUGACUGUUUUUUAUGAGGUCAUUCCAACCACUCACUGGGUGUGUGACUGUUUUUUAUGAGGUCAUUCCAACCACUGACUGCUGUGUGACUGUUUUUUAUGAGGUCAUUCCAACCACUGACUGGCUGUGUGACUGUUUUUUAUGAGGUCAUUCCAACCACUGACUGGCUGUGUGACUGUUUUUUAUGAGGUCAUUCCAACCACUGACUGGCUGUGUGACUGUUUUUUAUGAGGUCAUUCCAACCACUGACUGCUGUGUGACUGUUUUUUAUGAGGUCAUUCCAACCACUGACUGCUGUGUGACUGUUUUUUAUGAGGUCAUUCCAACCACUGACUGGCUGUGUGACUGUUUUUUAUGAGGUCAUUCCAACCACUGACUGGCUGUGUGACUGUUUUUUAUGAGGUCAUUCCAACCACUGACUGGCUGUGUGACUGUUUUUUAUGAGGUCAUUCCAACCACUGACUGCUGUGUGACUGUUUUUUAUGAGGUCAUUCCAACCACUGACUGGCUGUGUGACUGUUUUUUAUGAGGUCAUUCCAACCACUGACUGGCUGUGUGACUGUUUUUUAUGAGGUCAUUCCAACCACUGACUGCUGUGUGACUGUUUUUUAUGAGGUCAUUCCAACUACUGACUGGGUGUUAUAGGACCCGACCUGAAAGUGCACUCG